This 114-nucleotide ribosomal RNA is filed under the name Microcebus murinus (gray mouse lemur). Lineage: Eukaryota; Metazoa; Chordata; Mammalia; Primates; Cheirogaleidae. The record is from RNAcentral.
GUCUAUAAUCAUGCCACCCUGAAUGCGCCCCAUCUGAUCUUGUCUGAUCUCAGAAGCUAAGCAGGGUCGAGCCUGGUUAGCACUUGGAUGGGAAAAAGAUUCAGAAUAUAGAAA